CCUACGGGCGGCAGCAGUGAGGAAUAUUGGUCAAUGGGCGCGAGCCUGAACCAGCCAAGUAGCGUGAAGGAUGACUGCCCUACGGGUUGUAAACUUCUUUUAUAAAGGAAUAAAGUGAGGCACGUGGGCCUUUUUGUAUGUACUUUAUGAAUAAGGAUAGGCUAAACCCGUGCCAGCAGCAGCGGUAAUAAGGAGGAUCCGAGCGUUAUACGGAUUUAUUGGGUGUAAAGGGCGCGUAGAUGGGUUGUUAAGUCAGUUGUGAAAGUUUGCGGCUCAACCGGAAAAUUGCAAUUGAUACUGGCAGCCUUGAGUACAGUUGAGGUAGGCGGAAUUCGUGGUGUAGCGGUGAAAUGCUUAGAUAUCACGAAGAACUCAGAUUGCGAAGGCAGCUUACUAAACUGCCACUGACAUUGAUGCUCGAAAGUGUGGGUAUCAAACAGGAUUAGAUACCCGGGUAGUC
RNAcentral lists this ribosomal RNA (460 nucleotides) under uncultured bacterium. RNAcentral's name for it is "partial 16S ribosomal RNA". It matches the Rfam family "Bacterial small subunit ribosomal RNA", at positions 338 to 795 of the family's 1533-position model. The record is from RNAcentral.